AAACCUUUCUCUCUCUCAUCAUCCUAUAACUCUUUCCUCUCUGCAACUACAAGGACAUUCACAACCACUCACAGAUCGAGUCCAAAAACACCACCAUCGUGAUCCUCUUGUCCUCACGAUCACAACCAUACCAAUCGAUUCUCUAAUGGUUGAGUUUUGAGUGGUCAACACAGAGCGACUCGAAAGCUCCGACUCGGUUGAGUUGGUGUCAUCAUGAUCCCAGCCAAAUUACAAGGUUUUAAGAUGUGGGGAAGCUCUUACUCAACUCCUCGUGCCCAUUAGACUAGUUUUGGAGAAGCAUUGAUGUUGAAACAGGCACGUUCAAGGAGUUGAGCUUUUGGCCCAGACUUAUAAGCCAUUUUCAAGCCAUUUCUAGUCCACUUUUGGACUUUUGGAAGAAACUGGCGAAGAUUUCCAGUUUCCAGCGAGUUCAGACGGCGGCGGAUGGUGACGAUUGGUGACAACCCAUCGAAGAAGACAACGAAUAUUCCAUCAGACUUGACGGAAUAUUCUAAUGGCAUCAGGGGAGACUUACUCCGAGGACAAGCGAGACUAGGAAGCUAUGAUCCUACGACAUACCA
Molecule: long non-coding RNA, 581 nt
Organism: Pyrus x bretschneideri (Chinese white pear)
Lineage: Eukaryota; Viridiplantae; Streptophyta; Magnoliopsida; Rosales; Rosaceae
Exons: 3
Source: RefSeq, a predicted model, not a curated record